Molecule: long non-coding RNA, 1000 nt
Organism: Drosophila sulfurigaster albostrigata
Lineage: Eukaryota; Metazoa; Arthropoda; Insecta; Diptera; Drosophilidae
Exons: 3
Source: RefSeq, a predicted model, not a curated record
UAAUUUUAGUUUUAGACCUUGAAGGUAGCCUCAGAAUUGUAGUACAGUCUUGUCAAUUGUAUUUUUAGAGCAGAUACUUAACUGGUCCUUCGGCAAGUUUCUAUAUUGGUAACAAGCACUAUUAACAGCCUCGCCAAUCUUUGGCUAUUUAUAGGCAAAAAGUCUGUAAACAACAUGGCUUUAAUGGAAGUUCUUCUCGUUGCGAGUGAAACCAGUUGCGGAAGAUGAACUUAACUUAUGACAAGCAUUUAGUUUGUGAUCAAAGUAAACAAUACUAAACUCAUUUCGAUUGGCCCAAAUCUUUAUAAACGAGGAAGACAAAUUUAAAAUUUGUAGCAGAAAAACACUUUUUAAAUAUUAUGUCGCAUUAGAUAACAGAUACAAAGAUCAGCCAAAAGAUUUUCACAAACAAAAUUGCGUACAAAUAUGCUAUAUAUAAAAAUUUUGGACUUUCGUCAAUUGUUUUGGAUGGCGAUGCUAUACAACAAGUGCGUCAUUUGGCACGUGAGACCAAGGGGUUGAGGGGCUGAGGUUAGCGGGCAGAUCAUACGGAGAACGUUUAGAGCUUAUCAAGCGGCAUUACGAAUUAUUCAUUUUGGUCAGGUGGUUGGCAGAGAUAAAAAACGACGCGCAGAUUUUGCAUGAUAACGGCAGAGAGUUGAACUUCGAGACGAAAAAUCGGAAGAAACGAAAUACUACGUCAUCAAUCAUGGGAUUCUCUAGUGACACUCUAAAGAGCUGAUAACACAAAAACAGAACAUUCAACUGAUGAAAUCAUACGUCGUGCUAAAGCAACUUGAACGCGUGUGCUUCAGCAUGAAAUUUCAGAUAACAAUACAGCUGGAAGUGUUUCCCUUAUUGUAAAUACAGAAAUGUCGGAUAAUAUCGAGAGGUUUUUCGAGAGCGAAGCGAAUAGAAGAGAACGACAGUGACUAAAGUUAGAUAUGGAAAAUAAAUAUGUACGAACAUAGAACAGAAAUGGAAAUAAAAUUAGAAUUAG